GAUGAACGCUGGCGGCGUGCCUAAUACAUGCAAGUCGAGCGAACGGACGAGAAGCUUGCUUCUCUGAUGUUAGCGGCGGACGGGUGAGUAACACGUGGAUAACCUACCUAUAAGACUGGGAUAACUUCGGGAAACCGGAGCUAAUACCGGAUGAUAUUUUGAACCGCAUGGUUCAAAAGUGAAAGACGGUCUUGCUGUCACUCAUAGAUGGAUCCGCGCUGCAUUAGCUAGUUGGUAAGGUAACGGCUUACCAAGGCAACGAUGCAUAGCCGACCUGAGAGGGUGAUAGGCCACACUGGAACUGAGACGCGGUCCAGACUCCUACGGGAGGCAGCAGUAGGGAAUCUUCCGCAAUGGGCGAAAGCCUGACGGAGCAACGCCGCGUGAGUGAUGAAGGUCUUCGGAUCGUAAAACUCUGUUAUUAGGGAAGAACAUAUGUGUAAGUAACUGUGCACAUCUUGACGGUACCUAAUCAGAAAGCCACGGCUAACUACGUG
Molecule: ribosomal RNA, 497 nt
Filed under: uncultured bacterium
Lineage: Bacteria
Description: partial 16S ribosomal RNA
Rfam family: Bacterial small subunit ribosomal RNA
Source: RNAcentral